Trichonephila inaurata madagascariensis is the source of this 110-nucleotide non-coding RNA. The record is from the annotation of a GenBank genome assembly. Lineage: Eukaryota; Metazoa; Arthropoda; Arachnida; Araneae; Nephilidae.
AACGGCCAUACCAUGAUGAAAGAACCGGCUCUCGUUCGGUCACCGAAGUUAUGCAUCAUCAGGCGCGGUCAGUGCUUGGGUGGGUGACCACCUGGGAAAACCGCGAGCAG